GAUGAACGCUGGCGGUAUGCUUAACACAUGCAAGUCGAACGGACUCUUCGGAGUUAGUGGCGGACGGGUGAGUAACGCGUGAGAAUCUGGCUUUGGGUUCGGGACAACCACUGGAAACGGUGGCUAAUACCGGAUGUGCCGAGAGGUAAAAGAGAAAUUGCCUGAAGAUGAGCUCGCGUCUGAUUAGCUAGUUGGUGAGGUAAAGGCUCACCAAGGCAGCGAUCAGUAGCUGGUCUGAGAGGAUGACCAGCCACACUGGGACUGAGACACGGCCCAGACUCCUACGGGAGGCAGCAGGGGGGAAUUUUCCGCAAUGGGCGAAAGGCUGACGGAGCAAUACCGCGUGAGGGAAGAAGGCUCUUGGGUUGUAAACCUCUUUUCUUAGGGAAGAACAAAAUGACGGUACCUAAGGAAUCAGCAUCGGCUAACUCCGUG
This 435-nucleotide ribosomal RNA is filed under the name uncultured bacterium. Its description in RNAcentral is "partial 16S ribosomal RNA". It matches the Rfam family "Bacterial small subunit ribosomal RNA", at positions 28 to 507 of the family's 1533-position model. The record is from RNAcentral.